UGAUUACCCACCCGUCAGGGCACCGCUGAAGGUCACUGAAUACUUAGUGUGCACCCGAAAAAUAAAUCCUGCGAGUUCACGCCCGCGUAGUUCGCCCCCUGGUUUUGAGCGACUCCUUUCGCAUGGGAUCUACAAAACCGAACUGCCUUAAAGACCUCUUUCACACGGACGUGAAGUCACAGAACUGACAAAAUCCCAUCCUGUCAAAGUGCACGGGUCUUUGAAAUCUAACACAAAAAGCCAUAGAAAGAUUCUCUAAACACCCUGUACUAAGAGGAACACGGACAGGGCACUGCGUUCUGAAGUAGAGGCCAGGGCACUGGCCCUUAGACACGUCUCGCUGUCACCGGGCUAACAACAUUGGCAAGGGCGGCGGCAGCAGCACUGAUAUUUGCAGACCCCAAGGGCUCUGGCGAAACCCCCUCUAUUACUCUGUAUCCUGCGUGCUUCCAAGAUGAACCUGUUGCUGGGAAAGAACAGGCUAAAUUAGAAAAGGGAGUAUUUUGUCAAAGUUGAAGAAACCUCUGUAGAGGAGCAGGAUGCAACCGACAGGCUGUGGCCGGACAGCUGCUGCCCAGCACAUGGAGCCUGCACGCGCACGGUUUGGCCAAAGAAGCCCCCAUACUCCCGGUGAAAAAGAUUUCCAGAAGCUGUUCUGUCAAUAACAAAGUCUCAAAACCACAAAACCACCAACACUAAGAUCAUUCUUGAGUCCAAUUUGAAAAACUAGGGUCAAGUUCUGCAGAGGCAUUGAAAGGACAAGAAGCCACCCUAAUACCCAUCGUGUGAGGGAAAAUGCUCUAUUCACCAUUCCUCAGCUUCUGCUUCUGGUUUCAGAGUUCUCUCUAUAUUGGAGGGUGUUUUAAAGCUAGAGUGGUCUUUAUCCACUUUUAUUAACACAUCUGAAUGUGAAGGUCAAGAGAGGAAAGUGAUAUGUCCUAAGUCAGAGUAGAGUCAACAAGAAAAUAAGACAAACAGCAACUGAGCCCCUGGUGUAUACUGGGCAUUGGCCAGCUACUGGGGAUAUGGAGAUGAAGAAAACGUAACCCUUCUUCAAGGAGCCCAACCUACCAAGGUAGACAGACAUAUAGACAAAUAGAUACUUGCAUAGAAAAAAAGAGGAAAAGGGGAUCAGUGUGAUCUGUGUAACUAAGUACCCUAUACAACCCUCCUGCAACAGAUCAUAUUGCCCUUUAUAGUGGGGAUGGUAAUCCCAUCUCUGAAUCCACAGGUACUUUGUAGUCAUACCACACCCAUGUGUCUGUCGGUCCUGACUGUACCAUUUAUAAACAGCUUCACUUUCAGCAGUUCUCAGCCCUCUUAAGCUAGGGUCAUUGUCAGUAGGGAUACUGCUUCACAAGCAUCAGCAGAACACCAAAGGAGACCAUAUGGGUGAAAGCAACCAGCACUGCCCUGGCGCUUCAUAGGUU
RNAcentral lists this small RNA (1430 nucleotides) under Pan troglodytes (chimpanzee). RNAcentral describes it as "processed transcript". Lineage: Eukaryota; Metazoa; Chordata; Mammalia; Primates; Hominidae. The record is from RNAcentral.